Molecule: long non-coding RNA, 4401 nt
Filed under: Cicer arietinum (chickpea)
Lineage: Eukaryota; Viridiplantae; Streptophyta; Magnoliopsida; Fabales; Fabaceae
Description: long non-coding RNA (CARI_LNC000370)
Source: RNAcentral
CAAAUCCGUUUAAAUAUAAAGUGAACAUUCUUCUAUCCACAUAUAAUUAAGCGAAAUGAGAGUGAAUUUAACUAAAGUUUGUGCAUAUGCAUUUGCACUCCUUUUGACACAAGUGACAACAAAAUUAGGAAACAAAGCAAAUGAAUUGCAACAGUCAACAAUAAUUCAGCCAAAAUAAGAAUUGGUCAUGGUUUGAAACCCAAAGAUCUUUAAUAACAUUAACUGAGUCUCCAUCCAAGUUAAUGUUUUAAAAACUAAGGUCCAAUAUGAAUUGGAAAGAGAUACGAGCCUAUAGAGCCUUUGUAGUGUCCACGUUCAAUAAAAUCACAAAUUUCCUAGUGGCAACAACAAGGACAAAAACCUUCUGAAGAUAUGAUGAUAGGUACCAAUUCUCCAUUUACAGAACUAGAAGAAACCUUAGAGGAAGUGAAUCUUCCCAAUAUUUUAUGAAGUGGUAGGCAUACAUACACUAAAAAAGUCCUGUUGAUUGGACACCAAACCUUUUUGUCUCUUUGGUUCGAAGUAGAAAAGUUGCGCGUUCCAUAUUCCAAACUCUUGGUGUAUCAUCUAAGCCACGUAAAUAAGGUAUGCAUUGGAGAGCUUGUGGGGUCCAAAUUUUGUAGCGAUCUUGAAGAGACAACCAAUUAUCUUCCCAAACCUUGAUAGAAUGAUUUGUUGCAAUCUCCUAUAGAUGGUGAUAAGGAUCUCAAGAGCACGAAGAUAAUCCAUAUUUUAAUAAAUUAAGAUGAAUUUUUUUAUAUUUUAAUUUGGUUUGUAAUAAUUCUUAGUUUGCUUUGAUUUGGAACUGUAAUAGUUUUAACAUAGAUUUUUAGUUUAUGUUAUGUAUAAGUGAAGAUACUUGACCUCCUUGAGCUUAUUUAAAAAAAAUAAUGUAAAUCCAAUAUGGGCCUAGAGAAUGGUGUCAAUUAUGAUCCAUUUGAGUUUAGAGAUAGGUAAAUAUGCAUUUGUAACUUCAUUGAGAUAAAUAUGAAAUGAAUUAUUUUCUAAUGAGAAUUGUGACUGAGUUAGAUCUCCUUUUUAAGUUCUUAGAUUAGAACUUGCUUGAAUUUUAUCAGCGACUUCCUUACCAUUGUGGCGAUUCCAUAUUGACUUAUCAUUCGUCAUUGAUUGUGGCGACUUCUUCAUCUUUUCAACAUGAUUCAUAUUUAUUUCUUUAUCUUUCCUUUUAUUUUAUCACUUUAUUUGAAGAAAUCAUUUGAUUAAAUCUUUAAUCUCAUGUGGCAGCAUUCACUCACUAGAGUGAGACAUAUGAUGGAGGUAGGAGCUUCCAAAAUUUAUCUGCUUUUAACUUUGCUAUACUAAGAUAACAAGAUUGGAGGUUGAUGUCAUGUCGAAAUAAUAUAAUUUAUCGUUUCUUUAAAGCUAAAUAUCUAGCUACGUUUGGAGAAGCCGUUGGAAUGUGAAGUUUGUUGUUCAAGCUGGUCACAUGUGGUACAUUUGUUUUGGUUCUAAUAUCCCUAUUUGGAACAAGAAAAUUGUUAUUCGACGUUUGCGCAUACGUACUCCCUUAAGUUAAGAACCUUAUUUGACGCAUUUGCAAGUUGUGUUUUCCCAAUCACGUUAAACUACAAGACAAAGUUGUGAAUUGUCCUAAUGGCUAUAUUGAACAACAAUAUUUGACAAAAAUGUAAUUUCUCUAACACAUAUAUGCAUACUACUAGCCCAUAUAUGGAUAUUCGUAGUCCAAAAACUGAACCGCAUUAUAUCAUAUUCAUAGUUUCAUUCGGCUCUUGAAAACUACUUUCAAAAUAAGUUGAUAGUAGUUUCGAACCGGUUUGAAACUGAUUUAUAAAUAUAAACCACUUUAAUAUUUUGAACAAAUUUUUAGUUAAAAUCAAUUUCAAAUUAGUUAUUCGAAAAGAAUUUUAAAAUUCUUUUGAUAAAAAAAUAUAGAUUUUUUACGAGAAAAAAGUUUGAUUUUUUUUCAAAAAAAUUGUGUAAAAAGUUUUCGAUAAAAAAAUUUUGAAAUUAUUUUGGCAAAAAUUAUUCAAGAAAUAUUUUUUUGAGAAAAAUAAAUAUAAAAAAUUCAAUAAAAGAGUUUGGAUUUUGAAAAGAAAUUGAAAUUUUUUUAGGAAAAAUGUCUUUGAUUUAUUUCCAAAAAAUGAUUUAUUUUCAUUCUUUUUUGAAAAAAAAGUUAAGAUAUUUUCUAUAUUUUUUUUUGAGAAAAACAUUUCGAAAAUUUUAUAAGAAAAAAAAUCUUAAUUGAAGUUAAAAACAUUUUAAAAUUAUUAAACUAGUUUUUAAAUUAAGUUUAGUUAACUUAAUUGUUUUACAUAUGUGAUUUAAUUUAUGAACUAAAUAAAUAAUUUCGUUUUUUUAGUACAAUACAAUCAAAUUAAUUAACUAUAUAUUUUACAUUCCCAUAACAUCUAACCCUACAUUGCAGUUUUAUUUCAAAUAUGAUUUUUGUAUGUUUUAAGACGUGUCUUAAAGUCAUAUGCAUCAAAUUUUGUUAGUGUUAUUUGGGGCAUUUAGAAGCAAAUGAACAAAAAAGACAUUGGAAUAAUCACCUUGACUUGCAAGAUGGUAUAUUUAAUCAAGCAAAUAAACUACUAUCAAAUUAUACAAAGGCAAUUAAAUAGAAAUUGAUAUAUGCAUCAGAGACGAAUCAGGCCAAUUUAUUCCUGCCAAGAGAGAAUGGUUUACGCCUAUUUAUGUUCAUAUACGAGAAGUACUUGAAUUACUAUUAGCGUUGAUUUGGUUCAUUGAUCCCAGCUUGGUCUUGUUGAUCUUGAAUUGGAUUAUGAUCAACUUUGAGUAUCGUAAUGUGAAUGUCAGUAAAUUUGGUGAUAUCAUAUCUAAUUGUUGGCGUACAAUUUUUUUAUUUAUAGAAACUCUUUGUUAAAUUUGUUAAGAGACAAAUAAUUCUUACAAAAGCGCUUACAUCUCUAGUUAGUUUUCAAUUAUUCUGAACUAGAUUGUAUCUAUGAUGCAUAUAUACAUAUAUUGAUGAUAUAUGAUAUUUAAAAAAGAAACAAUGUACGAAUCACGUCAAAGGAAAAAAUAAUUCUUUUAUAUAAUUUAAUUAAAAGAGUUAGACUAUUCAAUUUAUAAUACAAAAUUACAAAUAAAAAUUUAAAAAAUAAAAAAUUGUAUUAACAUAAAAAAAAGGUCAAAAAUUGUAUUUGAUUUAACAACAAAUAUAUUCGACUCACAAAUUUUCCAUAGCAUUGUAUUUGUAUUAAAGCGUAUUAUCAUGAAUGAAAUGAAAUAAUUAUAAAAAAAAAUGAUCGACCAUAUAUUAUUUAAAACCAAUUUAACCAAUGUAAUUAAAGUUCUUUCAAAGAGUUCACAUCUUACAAGAUAUUGCAUCUUAAUACAUAGGUGAGGAUUUGAAUUUCCCACAUAUGGUUAAGAGGCUUAAAAUUGCCACAUUAAUGUUGGUAGAUCACAUAGUAUUAUAUUUUUAUUGUAGAAUAUUAUAAAUGUAAACAGAAUAGAAAGCCUUAAAUUAUAACGCAAAUAUAUAUAUUAUUUUUUGAUUGUAGAGUAUUAUAAAAACAAACAGAAUUGAAAGUCCUUAAUUAUAAAUUAACACAAAAAUAUACUAUGGCAAAACCAAACUUAACAGUAGAUACUUUUGCAACAAAAUAUUUUAUAAAAAAAGAAAAAGAAAAACUUACUAGUAAUAUAUUAGUAAUUAGGAAGCAAGCAUGGAGUGGAUGAUCCAUGACCAUGACUAUAAUUAAUAAUAAGGAGGGCGUGGCGGCGGAGGACCGGGAUGACCAGGCUGCGGAGGCGGUGGGCCGGGAUGACCAUGCCGUGGCGGCGGUGGUGUAUGAUGGAGGUGCACAACCGGCGGUGGCGGUGAUGGAGCGUAAGGAUUUGGAGGAGGGGGUGGAUGGUGGAAGACAGGUGGUGGCGGUGGAGCAAAAGGUUCAGGAGGCGGUGGAGGGUGGUGGGAGUGGGACAUAGGCGGACCUGGAGCGAGUGGUGGCCCCCUUCCGAUGGGAGGUCCUGGUGGUGGUGGAGUAUGCCUAUGGUUGUGAGGGUAACUCAUGGUUUGCUUAAUUAUGAUUUAUUUUUGCAAUGAAUUAAAAACACUAUAGUACUAGUAUCUACCUCAAUAUAAUAUUAUAUAUAGACACAUUUGAUGUGAGGGAGAGGAGAAGCUUCAAAAUAUGAUGACGUUGGGGACUGACUUACAAGUAUGUAUGUAUGGUUGAGAAUUCAUCACAAUGAGACUGGUUGGUGGUUGUUCACAUCUUCUUCUACUGUGCACUUCAUUAUUAAAUAAUUAAUAUAUCGCUAACUUAGACACUAAGCAUAAACAAAAAUAUUAAUUUGCUCUAAUUACUUCUAUUUGUAAAUAAUACAGAGAAGGGAGUAAAUUACGGAUAACACAUGUCGGCUACGGUCUUACAACAUAUUGGAUAACGG